GGCACAGUGGCAGCAGACACUUGUCACGUGGCAGGCUUCUGGGCCGAUGAUGUAUGACCUGCUGGUGCUACUGAAUGGUGCCCUUUGUUCCCGGAGAUCCCAUGUGCCCCCUUUUUAUGAAGUUGUUGAUUCAGAGGGGCAGGAAAGCUCCACAAAUCCCACUGCAGGCCUAGCUCUUGCCAUGCCCAGGUUACCAGCUGCAAAAAAGGAGCCCCCUUCCCUGUUCGCUGGACCAAGAAGCCCAAGGUGGGAGCCAGCAGCUCAGGGAGGAAGGAACUUGGCCUCUAUUUGCAGGACGAAAUCCAGCCAGAGACCCCAGAGCCAGGUGGGAAGACUCCGACAACAGGAGAUAGGGCUGACUUCUUAGCCAGCAGGAAAUCUCUGCGUCCUGAGAGGAUGAGGAUUAAAAGGCACCCUUCCCCUGGCCUCUCUUCUCCUGGCUUCCAGACUUGGUGAGGUGAACCCAGAGUGGAUUUCAGCUCAUUCUUUAUCUCUCCAUCUUGUGGCCCAGCUUCGGGGACCUAGCAAAGGACUGGACAAGAAAAGGGCUUUGCCAGGAUUUGACUCAGCCUUUCUGGCAUGGAGACAGCUGAUGG
This is a non-coding RNA of Heterocephalus glaber (naked mole-rat), 596 nucleotides long. The record is from RefSeq and is a predicted model, not a curated record. Lineage: Eukaryota; Metazoa; Chordata; Mammalia; Rodentia; Bathyergidae.